This is a long non-coding RNA of Drosophila albomicans, 268 nucleotides long. RefSeq lists it as uncharacterized. Lineage: Eukaryota; Metazoa; Arthropoda; Insecta; Diptera; Drosophilidae. The transcript has 3 exons. The record is from RefSeq and is a predicted model, not a curated record.
AUUGUUAAAAGGUUAGAAGAAAAAACCUGAGAAAAAAUGUGUUAAAGUGCAUGUGUCUGAAAAAAAAAAAUUAUCUCAGUGAAGUGGUUGGCAAAGCCUGUUGCAUACAUCUUACUUUGCACCUUUGCCGUCCACCCAACACAUGCAAUAGAUGGUUGUCCAAUUCAGGAGUUUGUCGUCCCAUAUCAAGUGCCGUUUUCCAGAUUAGGAUUCGGCACUCAGUCUUAAAUUAUAUUAACCCAGUUAUAAUUUAUAUAAAACCCAGUAU